RNAcentral lists this transfer RNA (70 nucleotides) under Pseudoalteromonas porphyrae. RNAcentral describes it as "tRNA-Leu". It matches the Rfam family "tRNA". Rfam says of the family: Transfer RNA (tRNA) molecules are approximately 80 nucleotides in length. Their secondary structure includes four short double-helical elements and three loops (D, anti-codon, and T loops). RNAcentral also lists the same sequence under 3 other names. The record is from RNAcentral. Lineage: Bacteria; Pseudomonadati; Pseudomonadota; Gammaproteobacteria; Alteromonadales; Pseudoalteromonadaceae.
UAUUAAAGUAGCUCAGAGGUAGAGCAACGGCUCAGUGCCGUGUGCGAAGGUUCGAAUCCUUCCUUAAUAA